AUACCUUUCUCGGCCUUUUGGCUAAGAUCAAGUGUAGUAUCUGUUCUUAUCAGUUUAAUAUCUGAUACGUGGAUCAUGUAUCCACUUUGAUAUUAAAUUUAUUUUUUGUGGGGGAGGAUCCACCAAAGUGGCUUGCCGCUAGGGCCCUCGUGUGUCGCUCAGGCGUUGCACUACAGCUUGGGCUUGGCGCACCCCCA
Non-coding RNA from Oryza punctata, 197 nucleotides. NCBI's taxonomy places the organism in Eukaryota, Viridiplantae, Streptophyta, Magnoliopsida, Poales, Poaceae. The record is from Rfam.